This 18786-nucleotide long non-coding RNA is filed under the name Citrus maxima (pomelo). RNAcentral describes it as "long non-coding RNA (CMAX_LNC001493)". The record is from RNAcentral. Lineage: Eukaryota; Viridiplantae; Streptophyta; Magnoliopsida; Sapindales; Rutaceae.
UAAGAUUCUAUCCUUUGAGUUCAUGAUUCAUGUGUUGACUUGAAGAAAUAUAUAGAGUUAAAACUGAGCUGAUCAAGAUAAUAUUACCUGUAUUGAUGUUUACUGCUAAUUUGUUUCGAGCAUCAGGGACAACUAAGAUUAAGAACCUGGACGACAAUAUUGGCUCCUUGACAAUAAAACUUACAAAAGAGGAUCUGAAAGAAAUUUCUGAUGCCGUACCCACAGAAGAGGUUGCAGGAGACAGAUACCCAGAUGCUCUUGACAAAACAUCGUGGAAUUUUGCAACCACACCUCCAAGAGACUGUUGAGGUUUGAACUUAAAAUAUUUGCUGGAUGCUGCCCAUAUCAUCACUCGGGGUUGGGAACUGGGGAUGUCAUAUUUUACACAAACAAAGGCAGAUAAAUGUCAAAAUAUGUUUACAAGCUAUUGCUACAUGAUUUCAUACUGAACAAUUUCAUGAGUAAAACUUUGAUCAUUUUGAUGUACUAUAUAUAUGUAAAUGUAGUGUGCCCGAUUUGUGAAAUGAGAAUAUGUGUGAGCUUUGUUAAGGUGCAACUUGAUAAAUUUUUGCCGACACUCUUUCUUUGAAAUUGAAGAUUGCAAAUAUCCAAAUUUUUUAUGGAAACAAUUUGCCUGCAUUUGCUUCAUCCUAGCACAGAUACAUGUUGAUUCGCAGGCAAAUUAUGGUGUUUGUAGAUGAAACACUUGAUUAGUACUGAAGCAAAAUUAUAUUCAAGUUACAAUGCGAAAGGAAAUGGGAAAAUAACUGCCGUUUUUUUUUUCCAGUAAAGAGUUUGAAUCCAUUUUUGAAUGUUUUCAGACUUUUGAGUCCCAUGAAUGUGAUAUAAAAAUAUGCAAUAUUUGAAACUCGUUUUAUCUCCAGUAGUUUCUCUCCUAGAAAUUGUAAAAUUCAUUGGAAUUUGAAAGAAUCACCAAAUUAACAUCAUUUUAUUGGAAACGUGGUGGUUAAAUGAUAAAAGGGGGAUUCUCCAAAUAAGAGUUUAAUAAUACUUUUAUCAUUCAAGAGGAUAAAAAAAAAAAACUACCAUUUAAGUUUGACUGAUACUAUUAUUAGAAAUUAUAGAAUAUAUCAGAUAUACUACAUCAACUAUACAAUAAGAAAAUGAUGUUAUAAUUUAUGUGCAUUCAUUUUGAAGGGGUUUAUAGUUAUAUUAAAUCUAAUUACUUAUGUUAUGCAUAUAUUAAUUGGUUGUAUUGUCUCAGAUGUAUUCUAUAAUUUCUCAAUUAUUACGUCCCUUGACAUACACCCCUUGAAAGUCUUCAUGAAACCCAUUUUCAAUUGAAACUACAUAACUAGUUAAAGAAAAAAUUUAAUUGAUUAUAUUUUAAAUGAAAAUUCAAUUUGAAACUUAUUUAUUCUUUUAACAAACUUUUAAGCUCACACAAUCUCAUAUUCUAUACUUAUCUUUUAUUUUUUAUUUGAAAAUAUAAUUUUUUAUAUUAAAACUAUAAAUUCGCUUAAGAUUUUCUUUUCUUACCGAAAAUUAGUUUAAGAUAUAUCAUUUCGUUUUCUGUAUUUUAAUUUAAUAAUUUUUUUAUUACUAUGUAUAUGGUUAGUGGAGUUUCUAUAAUUAAAAAUUUUAUUCAAAAGGAAAGAAAAUGGAUUGGAGUUUUUUUUCAUUAGACAAAAAUGAAUUAACUCUAUACAGAUCCCCGCGCGGCGCCCAGGGGAUGUAUUUAAAAAAAUUCAAGGGUUUCGUAAGAUUUGAGCUCCCACUGUAUAAUAACUUCAAGCCUUUUUCAGUAAGGGCCUCAAAAUUACCUACAAGACUUGAGCUGGGCUUGCAUUCUUAAACAAGGCCGAGUUCAUCGGAUUUUAGAAAAUGUAGAAUCCCAAAACCCACCUUUUGUUUUUUUGACUUUUUACCCUUAUACAUUUACCACCUUACAUUCUCUUAUUAACCUCACUUUUUAAUUAAACCCAUUUAUUUUUUAAAUUAUCUUGUUUAAAAAAUUAAAAAUAGUUAAAUUAAAUAAUUUUAUUUUUUAUUUUCUCUUUCAUAUGCUUUUUCUGCCAAGCAUCAUCUUCACCCAGUACCUAACUUCAUCACUACCAUGUCUAUCAUUACCACCGCACAUCUUCAUCACCAUCAAUCUACAACCACCUACAACACAUUAUAAUUUGUUAUUGAAUCUUAUUAAAUUUUGUAGAUAAUUGGUGGUUUCUAAUGCUGUCGAUCAUAUGGAUUUAUUUAAUACUUCUUUUUUUUUUUUGUGAUAAUCCAACAUUUUGACAAUUGCAAUGUUGAAUUUGUUUGGGGACUACCAUUUGAUGGAAAUUGUAAAUCAAUUCAAGAAAGUGAGAGAGAUAUGAAAGAGGAAAAGUCGCAAGCUUAAGAAAGUAAUAAUAAUAAUAAUAAUAAUAAUAAUAAUAAUAAAUAAAUAAAUAACUAGAGUUGAUCAAGAAAUACAAAUUGGUGAGAUAAAGUGAAAUAAUCAACUAUCAAUGUUCACUUUUAAAAUUUUAAUUACCUUUUACUUUUUUAGUGUUUUAGAACUCGUUAAAUUUUUUAAUUCUAUACAAGUGAAAAAUAGCCAAUAGAAAUGUAUUCUGCUAAGUUGCUUGUUAAUAUUACUGGGAGUUAGCUUUAGUACAAUUAGAUGACAUUGUUUGUUAGCAUUGACAUUAUGAAAUUCAAUGGGCUAGCUAGGUAGAAAGAUGACAUAGGGUAGGUUUAUAAUCGUUGAGUUUCCACAUAAUUUUAAAUGUAUAGUUUUUAAAGGUUUUAGUAAAUAUUUACUAUUUAAAUAAAUAAUAUUCACCGAACACUUACUCAUUUAUAUUUAAUAAUAAGUAAUUUUGUUCUACAAAUACUUUAGAGACAUUAUGUCUAUUUUUAUUGGUCUAUUUGUCUUUAACAUUUUGGGUCCUAAAAUAAUUAUCAAUUUUUAAGAAGAAUUAAAAGCAAAGGGAUGUUCACGUACCUGCUUACAUGAUGAAUGUAGUUUACCGGAAGGGUGCUUACAUAUUUGCUUACCUGAUUAAUGUAGUAUAUGAUUCUUUAUGCAUUCGACUUACAAUUUUCGUCACUUAUUUAUAUGUUUGAUUUGAUGUCCGAACUUGAAAGUGACAAAAUUUAUGAUUUAGAAGUUAAAUUAAUUUUAUUUUUAUACUUGUAUAAUAAAAAAAAUCUAUAAUACAAUAUAUUAACACCAAACAAGACCUAAACUUCCAGCUCUCGUUUUUUUUUUUUUUUUUAAUUGAAUAAUGUAUAUGGUUCAGCUUUAGAGUUUUAGACAUUUUAAAGACGUUUAUUUUUCAACUUAACACUUAAAAAUUGGUGAUUAUGUUUGAAUUUAAUUUUUUUAUUUUGGCCAUGGUUGCUGUGUAUGUGUGUGUAUGUAUACAAAUACAUCACGACUUGCUCCCCGCACAGAUCACGCUUUAGAUUUUUAAUUAUAUAUUUUUAUUAUAUGCUAAGUUAUUUUGCCCAAUACUCCACGGCAACAAAUUAAAAGCUUUAUCAAUGUCCUGAUGAUUUGAAUUUUCAUAAUUACAAGAACAAAUCAUUUCAAUCGUAUUGGUAUUAAAACUUCAAUUUGAUAUCAUACAUCAGUACAGAUCACACAUGCCCGUUUUAUUGUGUAAAUAAAAAAACAACAAUAGCGAAAAUUUUAUUUUGAUAAAAAAAAAAUUAGGUUAUAAAAUUUUGAUAAAAAGUAUAAAAACAUCAUAAUAUCUUGACCCAAAAAAAAAAACAAAAAACAACUGAUUGAUAACUACCCUGAUAUUUUAAUCAAAAUUUAUAACUCAAUUUUUUUGUCAAUGCAGCAUUAUUUAAUAAACGGACUCGAUUGACCGUUAUGUUUGUUUUUCCUUUAGUUCUUUUCAACAUUUUUUUUAUUCUAAAAAUAAAUAAUUACAAGACGCGAGGGCUAAGGCCACCUUCAUUUUGGUUCCUUAUAAAUGUCAUGAGUCCCACUCCCAUGCCUCCAUAUCUCUGCAUCUUAAGAGGCCGGGACAAGUCUUAAGCCAGUACCAAGAAGAAGAAGGAGAAGAAGAAGUUUGAAGAAAAUGGCUGAAGAACAAAGAAUCGAGAUUCCAAGGGUGAAACUUGGUGGGCAAGGAUUUGAGGUAAAGUUCAUUUGGUAACUCUUUUCUUUUACAGCAUUAGGAAAAAUAUAAACAAUCACAGAGAGACAUUACUGUUUCUCAUAUAAUAUUUUUUGAUGGCUUAUAUGUGUCUUAAAGGUGUCAAAGUUGGGAUUUGGUUGCAUGGGCCUCACUGGAAUUUACAAUGAUCCUGUCCCUGUUGAAGUUGGCAUAUCAAUAAUCAAGCACGCAUUUGAUCAAGGAAUCACAUUCUUUGACACAGCAGACGUCUAUGGACCCAAUAAUGCUAAUGAACUUCUUGUUGGAAAGGUAAAUGAUUAAUUGAUAAAACUGAUGGGUGAAAACUCUUGGCAUGCAAGAUUACUUUGUUUGAGUAAUUAAUUGAUGAAUCUUUUCAGGCUCUCAAGCAGCUUCCAAGAGAAAAAGUGCAGCUAGCCACAAAAUUUGGUAUUGUCAAAUUUGACAUGAGUGAUGUUGUGGUAAAGGGUACCCCUGAGUAUGUCCGCGCCUGCUGUGAGGCUAGCCUGAAGCGUCUUGAUGUUGAAUACAUUGAUCUCUAUUAUCAGCAUCGCGUUGACACAACGAUACCUAUAGAGGAUACUGUAAGUAAUCUGCUGCCUUCAUUUCUGAUUUCCUUGUCAGUAGUCACCAGUUGCCGCAUCACUAGUUAUAGUGGUACAUUUUGCUUCUUAUCAGAUGGGAGAACUUAAGAAGUUGGUGGAAGAAGGGAAAAUAAAGUAUAUCGGGUUAUCUGAAGCAAGCCCUGAUACUAUAAGAAGGGCACAUGCCGUUCAUCCUGUUACUGCCUUACAAAUGGAAUGGUCUCUCUGGACUCGCGAAAUUGAGGAUGAAAUAGUCCCACUUUGCAGGUUCUUUACAAUGAAACUGAAAUUGAUAUGUUGUCAUUCUCAUUUUUAUCUAUUCAACUACAGUAGAUUUUCUUUGGUAAAUGACUCUCAUGCCACCUCUUCAGCUAACAUAUUCCUGCAAGUUUGAUUUCUGUAAAUGAGAGGCAAUUGUCAAUUUUGAAUAUUAUGUUACAGGGAACUUGGAAUUGGGAUAGUUCCAUAUAGUCCACUUGGCAGUGGAUUUUUUGGUGGCAAGGCUAGUGUUGAAAGUUUGCCUGCGAACAGUCUUCUGGUAUGUUUUAGUCUACAAUGUUUCAUUUGUUAUUCUGAUGUUGUUACUUUUGAGAGUAAUUUUGAAUUGAUUAACUGAUGGUCAAUUUUUCCUUAAGACAUGGCAUCCUAGGUUCUCAGGAGAGAACAUUGACAAAAACAAGAUCUUAUAUUUGCGUCUGCAAAAGUUAGCCGAAAAGCAUGAAUGCAACCCUGCACAACUUGCACUUGCUUGGAUUCUUCAUCAAGGAAAUGAUGUAGCACCAAUUCCUGGUGAGUUAAUCUCCUUAUUUUCUUAUCAGCCGGUGCAAUCAUGAUAGACAUCUCUCCUAUAUGAGUUGAUAAGCCUUGUGUGUGCUUUAAUUUUUUUUUUUUUUUUCUUUUUACAGGUACAACAAAGAUUAAAAAUCUAGACGACAAUAUUGGUUCUUUGAGAGUGAAACUUACAAAUGAAGAUUUAGAUGAGAUUUCUUCUGUGAUUCCCAUCAAUGAGGUAGCAGGGGAUGGGGUAAUUGGCGGUCUCCUCCGUUGCUCCUGGAAGUUCGCGAACACACCAGCAAAAGAUAGUCCUCCACUUCCGGCAAUGAGGUAGCAGGGGACAGAAUAACGGAUAAGUUUCCUUCGCUGCUCUUGGAAGUUCGUGAACAUACCAUUGCAAGAUAGUCCCUCCAGCUACUAAAAGCAUCUGAAACUUGAAGAUUUUCCAUUGAAGAGAUUUUUUUUUGUUGGUUCAAUUUAUAAUGAGAGAUUGUGUCACUAUGGGAAAAACUACUAUAGUUUGUUUCAAUAAAUGAUGGGGUAUGCAGGGUAGCUUUUAUGUAUUUGAUUUCAGCUUGCUUUGCUGCUAAAGAAAUACUAUGUAUUAAUGAAUGAUAUGUAUCAAACUCAAGGCUAUUUCCAGCAAGUAAUCUCCCAAAGGAACCCAACAAUAGAUGGAUUUGUAGCUAUUUGCCUCCUUUUGGUAGCAAUUUGACAUCAGUGCAAUAACAAUUCAAAUAUUGUUCAGAAAAAUUUAAACCCUUGAUUUAUUCAUUAUGUAUCAUGAUGAGGCAAUACAACAACAAAAAGAUGCUGUAACUUAUCAGAAUAUUAUUCAGUUUGUUAAAACAUAAGAUAUUUAAACUCAAGUUCAACUGUUUUGUAUAGAGGUAUGGUGGUUCGGAUUGCUCUAUUGUGAAUAUAGUAUCAUCUCGCGAUCAAAGAAGAUACAAAGACAGGGCAUUUCAUCUUUUACAAGCUCAAGAGUAAUAUCAGGAGGCUAAAUUCACCCCCCAAUGUGAUAAAUAUGUAAUCUCAUUGAUAGAGAACAUUUUAGGUGGGAUCGACGUACUUCGUUUUCAUACGUACUCUUGUAAAAUUUUAACAAAUAGAUUUAUCUGAAUUGAUCAAACAUGAUAGAAAGAGAGAAUAAAAACUAAAAUGUGUCAUGUGACAUAAUUUUAAUUAGGGGUUCGGCUACGUUGGAUCAGCUCCAACGUAGCGCCAAUUUUAAUCAGGGUUUCGGCUAUGCGAUCAUAUAAAUCGGAUCUGACAAUCACGAUUACAUGGACUCAAAAUACAAGAUAUGCACAGGAUUAUGGGGUCUUCUUCUCCUUCGCUCUUCAUCGGUUGUUUGACCAAAUGCAAUAAACGAAUCAAAGAAAGCAGGACAUGCAAUGAACCCUAUAUGCAAAAGGGGAGUGGGGGUCUGAAUGCCUCUUGAAUUGAAUCGGCCAAGUGUUGUUUGCAUGCGCUCUACAAACUGCUUUGCUGUCAUCUGAAGCUGAAAGAAUUAUCCCUAGCUCCGUCGGUUUUUUCUGCAACAAAACGACAAUCCCUGCCUUCACUCAUCUUAAUUCAUCCCCUGGUUUUGUUCCUCCUUUUUUAAUCAAUAAUUAAUUCCUGCUCCCUGUUUCCCCUCUCUCUGUAGACUCUACCCACCAAAACCAUUUGCUAUCUUUCCAAUUUUCUUCCGUAUAUAUACACACAUUCAUAGAACAUUUUAUAUUACAACACUACGUAUAUUACUGAGUUACUUUCAAUAGAAAGAUAAAAAAGUGGUAUACAUGUAUACGAUGGAGACGGUGCAUGGACUGUAGGGGAAGCUGGGGCGGCAAUGCUAUGCUGUAUUUUGCUUGGGUGUGAUUCUUGUUGUGUCGGUGACAAUCGCUCAUUAUGUUGAACCAAAGGAUAAUUCUGCAUCAGCUACUGGUUAAAGCAGAGCCAAGGCCACCCGUCGUGGUCUUCGACCUUUACACAGUCCUCUUCCAGUGUCUCCGAAUUUCUACUGAUCAUCACUCCCCACCAGCCAACUAGCUGCUCUAUGCUACCUUCUAGAAUUCUAGAGACUUUAAUUAACUAAUUAAAUUCUAGACUUGUUUAUGGGUUUAAUCAAUUUGCUCCCCCAGUUUCUAUGUAAAAAUUUUGCUUAAUUUAAUUAAUUGUGUUGGUGCGAGAUUCGGUGUCUGCUCGUUCACGACCAGGAUCUCUCCUCAAUGCUCAAGUUUACAGUUGACUAUAGGUAACUUCACGCUGCCCCUUUGUAGACGAGUAGAACUAUGACUCUUACUGCUUCUCUCCGGCAGACUCCUGCGCACACAAAAACUGAUCAGAGCACGUUGAGGGUUUUCCCGGUGUAAACCCUCCGACGCUCAAGUCAGAAAUCUGGGCUUACUUUUGAAAAAACUCCAUCAAUAAUUUCUUGGCUUUGUAAUGAUUCCUAAAGCAAUGAAAUCCCUAUGAAUUUUCCUGAGGUUCUCACUAGAAUGCCCCUCGGAAUUUCUUUUUGUCUCUUUUUUAGUUUUUUUUGUUCAACCCUUUUACCUUUUUUUAUUGCCCUUUUCAUAGCCUCCCUGAGAAUUCGACCCUCUUUGACUCAUGUUUGCCACUUUGCCAGAAUCCUCGGAAGUAGAUGGCUGAACGUGGUGGUCGUAGUUGAGUGGACUUCGUGCCUGGAUUCUAGAAUAAUAGUGCAUGUCCUGUUUAACUGUCGUGUACUAGGUAUGCUGAUUUAGCCCCUAACGGGAAAUGUUCUCGACGCCUAGCAAGGAACCUGCUCGUAUUAUGGUUCCAGUAGAUGGUCUUCUCAUAGACGAGGAGAAGACUCCUGCUCUCGGACGUCACAUUGCUCCUCGCUUACGAGAAGGUCAACUCCUCUCCUGGGUAUGGCAGAUCACGCUAUAAUAUCCCCCCAAACACCGGUCCCCCAAUUUUUGGUAUUGGUAAUGCAAUGGAUCAAUACUAGAAACUUAAUAAUCAUGGUUUGCUCAUAGUAUAUUUCGACCUCUUGAUAUUAGGUCCAUUAUGGCUACCAUUUUGGCAAGGAUAUCUGCUCAGUAGUUCUCGCUCCUUGGGAUUUGCACUACGUCCACUGAUUCGAACUUCCCAAUCAACUGUCUGACCUUCUUUAGUUACUGUUCCAUCUUCUCAUUUAUGGGUUGAAAUCUUUCACUUACAUGGCUCGCGACCAAUUGGGAAUAGGUCCGGAUUUUCACCCUAUUUUCUUUCACUGCCUUAACUAACUCUAACCCUGCAAUUAGAGCUUCAUAUUCGGCCUGGUUGUUUGUGGCCGUAAACUCUAACUUGACAACGUAAGAGAUCUCUUCCCCUUCUGGGCUUUCCAAAACAAUCCCCGCUCCGGCACCCUACUCACCUGAGGAUCCAUCCAUCGACGCUUGCCAAACUGCCUCCGUCGUUGCCUGCAGCAGCACUUGUGUGGUCGAAGUCUACUUCAGGCUCUAUGAACUCUGCCACGAAGUCUGCCAUCGCUUGGGCUUUAAUUGCUGCUCGGGGUUUGUAGCUUAUAUCGAACUUGCUUAGCUCUAUUGCCCACUUCACUAGCCGACCGAAAGCAUUCGAUUUGUGUAGGGUCUACCACAAUGGUUGGUCUGCUACUACCGCAACUGAGAAUGCUUGGAAGUACGGUCUCAACUUUCGAGCAGCCACUACAAGGGCGAGUGCCCAUUUUUCCAACGUCGGGUACUUGGUCUCGGCAUCGAGCAGAGCUUUGCUGGUGUAAUAUAUUGGGUACUGGACCCCUUCUUCUUCUCUCACCAGAAUUGAGCUUGUAUUGUGAUUGGAUACACAGGACGUCCCCCUCUCGUGGUGUGGACAAUAAGAGUGUUUGUUGUAGGUAUUGUUUCAGUUUCAAGAAUGCCUCUUUGUAUUCGGGGGUCCAUUCUAUUUUCCUCCCCAUCCUCAUCACUUGAAAAAAGGCGUGACAUUUGUCUGUGGCCUUGGAUAUAAAUCGACUCAACGCCGCCAACUUUCCCGUGAAGCUUUAUAUCUCCUUCAAAUUACAAGAAGAUCUCAUUCCCACAAUUGCUUGGAUCUUCUUAGGAUUCGCCUCAAUCUCCCGAUGGCUUACCAUGAACCCAAGGAAUUUUCCCGAUCCAACUCCAAAAACACACUUUUUUCGGGUUGAGCUUCAUCUUAUAUUUUCUCAAAAGCCCAAAUGUCUCCUCAAGGUGCUUGACGUGUUCAUCCGGGCUUUUUGAUUUGGCUAUUAUGUCGUCCACAUAAACCUCCAUCGUUCACCCAAUCAAUGGCUUAAAGAUUUUGUUCACCAACCUCUGGUAUGUAGCACCUGUAUUUUUAAGGCCGAAUGACAUUACCCUGUAACAAAACAAACUCUGGUUAGUAAUAAACGUCGUGCUCUCCUCUUCAUACUCGUACAUUAGGAUUUGGUUGUAUCCAGAGAAUGCGUCUAUGAAGCUGAGCAGAUUAUGCCAUGCUGUUGAGUCAACCAGUUGGUCGAUCUUCGAUAAGGGAAAGCUUUUUUUCAGGUAUGCCUUGUUGAGGUCGAUGAAGUCAACACACAUUCUCCAUUUACCAUUGGCCUUCCUUACAAGAACGACAUUCAAUAUCCAUUCGGGGUAGUUCACUUCCUGAAAGAACCCUGCCUGCAAGAGCUUCUCCACCUCGCUAUUUAUGGUUUCGUAUCUCUCCUGGUUGAAAUACCUUCUCUUUUGCCUCACAAAUCUGACACCCUUCUUUAUCUCCAACCUGUGGCAAGCCACCUCGGGGUCGAUCCCCGGCAUGUCAUCAUGCGUCCAGGCAAACAUAUAUGCGUGAGAUCGCAUGCAGUGUAUCAACUCUUGCUUCAACUCCCCCUCUAUCUUCGACCCAAUCCUAAGUGUUUUCCCCAUACCGUCCUUAUUCAAGUUGACAGUCUCCAGCUCCUUAACCGUCUCAUGUCUGCCCCUCAUAAAUUUUGCUUAGUCAUGAAGCGAGGUAAUUUACAUCGCCUCUUUCGUUGCUGUAGUGUAACAGCUUCGAGUAAUUCUCUGAUUUUCUUGUACCACGCCAACCACCCAAUUUACUCGGUACUUGAGAGCCAAGUUAGAUAGCACCGCCUUACUCAUCCUCAAGAAAAGGCGGCCUAAAAUCAUCUAGUAGGGGCUCUCUUCAUCGACCACAAUAAAAUCUAGGAUCAUUGUCUUUUCUAAUGGAGCAGAACCUAUAGUAAUGGGUAGCUCGACCACUCCAAGUGGGGCUAGCCUUCCUCCCCUGAACCCCUUUAAUGAUGUGUUGAUGUGCUCUAUCCUCAAAUCUGCUAUUCCCAUUUCCUCCUAAGUUGACUUGAACAGGACAUCGACCGAGCUCUCAAUAUAUACUAGGAUUCAAUCAAACUUCUUGCUGGCGACGAUGGCUUCAAUGACAAGUGCAUCCUCGUGUGGGUAUAGCACUCAUUCUUCGUCCUCAUCCGUCCACAUGAUCAGCACAUGCUUGGUCCUUGUUCGUGUUGUUGUCGGAGUGUUAAAUAAUACUUUUUUGCUAGUCACGGCAUACCUAGCAUAGUUCUUUCUAGAUCUGUUGGAAUCCCCAGCCAACGUUGGGCCCCCAACGAUAACUCUGAUGAUGGGCUGCUUGUGACCUGCAUUUCUAGUGCCCUGCUCUGCUCCACAUGAUGAGCCUGCAAUCGAGAUAGCUCUAUCUAUGAACUCGUCCAGGUAACAAUUCCUUACUAAAUCUUCCACCUGAUUUUUUAGAUCACUGCAUUAGGACAUAGUAUGACCAUGAGUGCCAUGGAAUUCGCAAAACCGGCCCUUAUCUCAUCUGCUAGGUAGUUUUGCUAUUGGGGUAGGAGGAUACAGCAAACCAUGAUCCUUUAUUGCAUUGUACACCUCGUCCAGAGGCGUCUUCAAGGAAAUGUACCGCCUAUAGCUCUGACUCUGAUCGAUCACGUGCAUUGCCUUUUCCCUGUGGGCGUUGUUUUAAGCGGGAAGGGGCAUUGGUGCAUUUGGUCUGCUAGCUCUCAUACUCUGUAGGUGGUGGGUCAUCGUAGUAUGAUGAUGAAGGUGACUAUACAUCUAGUCAAGCCUUCCCCAAGAAUCUCUAGCUAGUGAACGAGAAAGCUGCAUCCUGCUACGUUGAUAUUGGAGUGGCCUCUGGUGAGGUUGGUAAGAGACGACCCGACUUCCCGCACUGCCACCCGGGGCAUGGUGGUCCUUCCAUUUAAUUGGCCCGCUUUCUGCUAUGACUUUCUUUUCCUUUCUCCUCAACCCCUCCAGCUGGUCCGUCUUAAUCCUCGUCGUUUUUUCCUCCUCGAUUUCUAUGUCCCUCUUGGCUUGCUCAUAGGCCACGAAAUAUGACUGAACUGCUGGACUCCUUAAGUUGUACCACAGACUCUCUAUCUUUACUCCUUCCUUUAGCCCCCUGAGGAUGGUUGAAGGCUCUAAGAUCGAGGAUAGCACGAUGGUAUCUUUUGAUAAAGUCCCGAAGAGUCUCAUUUUCUCCUUGCUUCAUACUCGUCAGCUCCAUCAUAUCAUCUUCUGGUGUCAUUGUCCCCCGAAAUUGCUCUGCAAAUUCCUGGCACAUCUGCUCGAAUGUUCUGAUGUUUUCCGGAGGAAACCUUCGAUACCACUCACCCUGCAUCUCUGGGCUUGAGAUAAUCUCUACACUCCGGUUAUGUCAUUGAAACGCUUUAUGUGCACCAAUGGGUCGGCUCGACUAGGAUCACGUGCCGUUACCUGGUCUUGCUCUUGCUCGACAUCACGCAUGUGUUGUCGAAGUUCCAUCUCCUCAGCGUUCGCAACCCUGUUAUUAUUGCCUGUGUUCUGCCUACCCGGGGGUUGAUUCCCUCUUUCAUGACUUUCCGUAGAGAUUGGUCACUGAGUCCACCACCAGGCCUCCCGGUAGUUAAACCUCUCAUCAUAGUGGUCCUUUCACCGUUGUUCCUUCUAUUAACAUGCCCCGGUGUAACUCUGUCACUUCUCAUCAUUUCUUCGUGAGUUUCUCUUUGUUCUUUCUCAACGCGUGCAAGAUGGUUGUCAGAGUUUCCAUCUGUUUUUCCAUCCGCUCAUGCAUUGCUCUUUCUCGCGCCUCGUUAGUUAUUUCUCUUAAUAUUACGGAUUCGUUAAGCCUCAUAUCCCCUCCUUGGACAUUACUCGUACCUACGUCCAUAGUCACCCCGCUUUUUUUCCCUUCCUUCUCUAUGUUAACGCUCUCUGUUAACAAAAGCUUUUUGUUCAGCUCCCCAUAGACGACGGCAAAAUGUUGAUGCGAGAUUCGAUGUAUGCUCGGUCACGACCAGAAUCUCUCCUUAAUGCUCAAGUUUGCAAUUGACUAUAGGUAACUCCACGUUGCCUUUUUCUAAACGAGUAGAACUAUGACGCUUACUGCUUCUCUCGGCAGACUCCUGCACAUACAAAAACUGGUCAAAGCACGCCGAGGGUUUUCCCGGGGUAAACCCUCCGGCGCUGAAGUCCAGAAUCUGGGCUUACUUUUGGAAAAACCCUGCCAAUCAUUUCUUGGCUUUGUAAUGAUUUCUAAAGCAAUGAAAUCCCUGUAAAUUUUCCUGAGGUUCUCACUAGAAUGCCCCAUGGAAUUUUUUUUUUGUCUCUUUUUUAGUGUUUUUUGUCCAACCCUUUUACCUUCUUUAAUUGCCCUUUUUAUAACCUCCCUGAGAAUUCGGCCCUCAUUGACUCACGUUCGCCACUUUGCCGAAUCAUCGUAAGUGGAUGCUUGAACGUGGUGGUCGUAGCUGAUUGGGCUUCGUGCCUGAAUUCUAGGAUAAUAGCGCAUGUCCUAUUUAACUGCUGUGGACUAGGUCUGCUGAUUUAGCCCCCAGCGGGAAAUGUUCUCGACGCUUAGCAAGGAACUUGCUCGUAUUCUAGUCCUAGCAAAUGGUCUCCUCAAGGACGAGGAGAUGACUCCUGCUCUCGGAUGUCACAUUGCUCUUCACUUAUGAGAAGGUCAACUCCUCGCUUGGGUAUGGCAGAUCACGCUAUAAUAUCCCCCCAAACAAAUUGUUAAUUAACAAAUAACAUAAACGCUAAUUUUCGCGCAAGUUUCAACAUUACUUACUUGGUUGCCUUCUGUUCUCGUGUUUGCGUCUCUGUCUUCCAUUACGAGCACUAAAAAAGGUAUAAUCAACGGUUUGCGAGAUAGUUGCGACUGCAGUAGGUGCCAGCGUCGAUCAUCAGCAUGGCGAUGCAUAGUAGAAUUAGGCGAGGAGAGAUAGAGAGAUAUAAUCAACGAUUGCUGAUCAAAUUUGAAACUUUCCAGCGAACCGACGGUGAUGAUGAGAUUGAUUCCGAUUAUAAUGAAGAAACUGGUGAAGAGCGAAGGAGAAGAAGACCCCAUAAUCCUAUGCAUAUCUUGUAUUUUGAGUUCAUGUAAUCGUGACCGUCACAUCGAAUUUAUAUGACCGUAUGGCUGGUAUUAGUUGGAGGUGAUCCAAUGUAGUUGAACACUUUUAUUAGACGAUUACAUCGUGUGUUGUGACUGUAAAUUUCUCCCACACCUAACAUUUUGCAAAGUACAGGGAUUAUUUUGUCAAAUCUUAAAAUCGUUAGCACUUGUUUUGAAUUACACUAAAUUGACCAAUCAUGAUAGUAAAAGAAAAAAAAAUGAAAAUUCGUUUGCACACAACAACACAACAGAGGCAAAGCUUAUGUUACAAAUAUUGUAACAAACAACUAAUAGAUAUGGAUCAUUAAUUUUUAUAUUUCUUAAAUCCAAUGGAUGAAAGUAAUUUUAACCAAAAACGAGAUACGGGUGCAAUAGUAAUUUAAAGAAAACUUUAUUUUUAAUCACAUAUUUACUUAUUUUUUCAAAUAAGUCCUCAUUAAUUUUGUAUAAUUAUAUAGUUUUCUAUAUUUAUUUUUAAAUUUUUUAAAAAGUUUUUACUAUAUUUUUAUAAGAAUUUAAAUGAUUAUCAUGUUCAUAAAUAUCCACAAAUUCUGAAUAUAUAUUUGCACCUGUAUUUAUAAAUUCUUGUCUCUCUUAAGAUAUAAACUAGAUUUUUUCUACACACACACACACACACCAUAAAUGCUUUCACAUAGAUUUUGUAAUAUGAAUCUAGCAUCCUAAAUUAUAAGAGAUAUUAUAUAUCAUGAAUAUCUUAUGAAUUUAAUGAAUUAUUAGAAAAAUGAUACAAUGAAUAAAUUACCAAAAUUUCUAAUAAUUUCACAAAACAUAAAAACCAAUAAGCUACCACAUUCUAGCUAUGGGCGAAAAGGAUUUUCAGGUGGAAGAUUUCAACUUUUCGAUUGGAUCAAUGAUUCAAACAUGUGAGCUAAUAAUCAAUUAAAUUGAACUUCGUUGUAUUUAUUAAAUAAAUUAAGAAACCCAAAUUUAUCUAUAAAUUAUAUAGAAAGUGCAAACAAAAUGUAAGAGAUUAAUAAUUUCAAUGACGAAAAUAUAAAACAAAUUAAAAAUUCAGGAGAUCAAAUGAGCAAAGAAUUUUAUAAGGUUAAACAAUUAAUGAAAUAAUUCAAUAUUGAAGAUCAAGAUAAAUUAAAGUAAGAGAUCAUUAAUAUAACGAAUAAAAACUCAAUAGAUGUAAGAUUAAAUAAGUUAGAGAUUCAAUUGGAUAAUAUAGAAAAAAAAAAUUGUUGAGAAACUGUACUAAAUCUACUGUAAAUAUAAAUAGAAAAUUUUAAGAAAAUUGAAGUUCGAAGAUACAAUUACGACAAAAAGGGUAAUUAUAUUGAUCUCCAAACAACCAUCAAUGCAAUUUAAAUGAAAGAUGUGAUUGUAUACAGGAGAAAUUCAACAAGUUUCAUCAUCUGUAAAAGUUUCCAAGCAAAUAGCACAGUCACUAGAACUUGAUGAUGAUGUAGUUUUUAACCUUUUGUAAUUUACAAGUUGCUUCAUUUUAUUCAAGGUUUGCUCUCUUUGCCUUUGCCUUUCUUUUGAGAUUUAUAAAAAUCUAUUUAAUAUCUCUAAUAGUUUAUUUAAUAUCUCUAAUAGUCAUAAGUUGGUUUGAUGAGACCAAAUGUGAUCAAAAUCAAAUCUUCUUUGCCAGAUAAAAAACCAACCAAAAACGUGAUAAAAGAAGAUGAAGAUAUACAAACCUAUGAGGCAAAUGUGGAUAUAAUUUUGGGAACUGUGUGAGAAAUAAUAAAGACUUGAGGGGGCAUAGGUUUUGCCAUUGAUGUUGACGAAAGGGUGGCUAAUAAUAACUAAUAUCCCUCCCGGGAAAUUUCAAAGACUUUUACAGGCAUCUUGGGGUUUAAAACAAAAUUUUAAAACUCAUUGACUUUUUUAUAAUUAUAAACUUUACGAAGGAUUUAAAAUCUUUUAGCUGUAACGCACAGCUAAUGUAACGGAAGUUUUGCCCCCAUCAGAACAAGUUUCAGGUUUUGAAAUUUCCCACCAUCCGAUUCUGUAACAAACAUCUCCCGUCAUUCCACCAUCCGAUUUUCUAUUGUUUAGUUUCUCACUCCACAUCCAACCACAUCCAACCACAUCCAACGGCUGAUGCUGCAGUCUGUAGCUUACAGAUUCUGUAAGCUAGUCAAGUCCCAGUUUCAGCACUUAAAAAAAAAAAGUACCUGUCUUCACAUCCUUGGAGUUGGAGCCAAACCAGAUUCCUUUCCUUUUUGUCCCAUCCAGCUCAAGCUCAAGUCAACCAACUAAUUAUUGAAAGAAUACCAGGACAAACCAAAACCACAGCAUCAAAUAUGGCAGAAGGGAUGAAACUCCAAGUUCCGAGAGUGAAACUCGGAACCCAAGGCCUUGAGGUAACUACCCAUUUGUAAUUUUCUUUUUUUUUUGUUCUUUUAAUCCUGAUCGUUUGAUUUCUCUGAUUGUGUUUUUUUGCUUUUACAGGUAUCAAAGCUGGGAUUUGGAUGCAUGAGCCUGAGUGGAGGUUACAAUUCUCCAGUCUCUGAAGAGGAUGGCAUCUCUAUAAUAAAGCAUGCUUUCAAUAAAGGAAUCACUUUCUUUGAUACUGCUGAUAAAUAUGGACCAUAUACUAAUGAAAUUCUUCUUGGAAAGGUUAGGAUCUUGACUCUUGACACUUGUGUAAGAAUUCUCUUAACUAAACACUUGUUAUGUUUGAUUAAUUUAGUUACAAUUCACAUCUAGAUCAAGCGGUAACCUAAAGAGUAUGAUAGCUGCUAUGGUUCAAGUAAUUUAACUGAUAACUGUGGAAUCACACUCCUAAUAUAAUAUGUUUGUUCAAGGAAUUGGUGAAUAUUUAUUUUUGCACAUUAUUGAGGAUAUAGAAAUCAUUGUUAAAAUUUUCCGAAUUUAUUGGAAAAAAAUUAAUUCCUUUCAGGCCUUGAAGAUGUUGCCCAGAGAAAACAUACAAGUAGCCACAAAGUUUGGGUUUGCAGAAUUGGGACUUGAUGCUGUGAUUGUGAAGGGUAACCCUGAGUAUGUGCGCUCAUGUUGUGAAGCUAGCUUGAAGCGCCUUGAUGUGGAAUACAUUGAUCUGUAUUAUCAACAUAGAGUGGACACAUCAGUCCCCAUAGAGGAAACUGUGAGUGAUUCUCUCUUCCUCAGGCUAACUAUCUGAAUUGAAGAGUUUUGACCCCAAUUAUGAUUUUUAGAUUCUGAUUGUAUCAGUAGUGGUGGGAUCCAUAUUGAUUGAAUGUGUUCAAAACUAUAUUUGUCAUUUCCUUGUCAAAAUAUAGAUUGGCGAAAUGAAAAAGCUGGUGGAAGAGGGUAAAAUCAAGUACAUAGGAUUAUCUGAGGCUAGCCCAGAUACAAUUAGGAGAGCACAUGCUGUUCAUCCUAUCACAGCUGUACAACUGGAAUGGUCUCUUUGGACUCGUGACAUUGAGAAUGAGAUAGUACCACUUUGCAGGUUCGUUCGACUCGCGAUGAAGAGUGUUUAAGGACCUAUUUAAUUGUUCCUAUCUAAAACUUUAAUUUUUGCAUCUAGUGUCUGAGUAUAUAGCAUUUCAUAAAAUUAGUAACUUGAAUAGGAUAGAUUAGAUUUUCAAAGGAAGUAUAUUCUAUUUAUUUGUUCCAAUCUACUAUUUUGUACCUAAUGUCUGUAGAUAUGGAAUUUUGUAAAAUUCAAUACUUGCAUAGAAUAGAUUAGAUUAGAUUUUAAGUGGAAGUAUAUGCUUGCAUGUACAAGACUGCCCUUCUGAUAGAUUGAAGUGUGCAGGGAGCUUGGCAUUGGAAUAGUUCCAUACAGUCCUCUUGGUCGUGGAUUUUUCGGUGGCAAAGCUGUUGUGGAAAGUGUGCCUCCAGAUAGCUUUUUGGUAUGUUUUUCAUCAAUGUUUGUCCGCAUCGUUUUGUUUCAUAACACAGUAUAACAUAGAUGUUUUUAAGAAACAACAUGAGCUUUCCAGUUUCAUUUGAGACUAAUGUUCCAUAUGUGGUGAAGCUUAUUAAAAUUCUGCAUGUAUCUGUUUUAUAAGAAUUUUCUUCCUCGGUUCACCGGAGAGAACCUGGACAGAAACAGGAGUAUUUAUUUUCGCAUAGAGAACCUUGCCAAAAAGUACAAAUGCACUUCUGCGCAAUUAGCACUGGCAUGGGUUCUCGAACAGGGGGAUGAUGUCGUACCUAUUCCUGGUAAGUUUCUAUCCUUGAGUUCAUGAUUCACGUGUUGACUUGAAGAAAUAUAUAGAGUUCAAAUUCGAGCUGAUCAAAAUAAUGUUGCCUAAUGUUUACUGGUAAUUUGCUUCGAGCAUCAGGGACAACUAAGAUUAAUAACCUAGAAGACAAUAUUGGCUCCUUGACAGUAAAACUUACAAACGAGGAUCUGAAAGAAAUUUCUGAUGCCGUACCCACAGAAGAGGUUGCAGGAGGAAGAUAUCCAGAUUCCUUUGACAAAACAUCGUGGAAUUUUGCAAACACACCUCCAAAAGACUCUUAAGGUUUGAACUUUAAGCUUAAAAUAUUUUCUGGAUGCUGCCUAUAUCAUCACUUGGGGUUGGGAGCUUGGGAUGUCUUAUUUUACGCAAAUAAACUCAGAUAAAUGUCAGAACAUGUUUACAAGAUACCGGUACAUUACUUCAUGCUAAACAAUUUCAUGAGUAAAACUUUGAUCAUUAUGAUGUACUAUAUAUUUGUAAACAUGGUGUGCCGGAUUUGUGAAGUGAGAAUAUGUGUGAGGCUUUUUAAGGUACAACCUGAAAUCAAGUUGCUAAAAUAUUUUUGCCGACUCUCUCUUUCUUUGAAAAUGAAGAUUACAAAUAUCCAAAUUUUGGAUGGAAACAAUUUGACUGCAUUUGCUUCAUCAUAGUACAGAUACAGGUCGAUUCGCAGGCAAAUUAUGGUGUUUGUAGAUGAAACACUUAUUGAAGCAAAAUUAUAUUCAAGUUACAGUGAGAAUGGAGAUUGGAAAAUAACUGCUGUUUGUUUAAGAAUACUCUCUUAUCAUUCAGGAGGAUACAAAUUAACUACCAUUUAAGUCUGACUGG